This 254-nucleotide ribosomal RNA is filed under the name uncultured bacterium. RNAcentral's name for it is "partial 16S ribosomal RNA". It matches the Rfam family "Bacterial small subunit ribosomal RNA", at positions 524 to 776 of the family's 1533-position model. The record is from RNAcentral.
UACGUAGGGUGCAAGCGUUGUCCGGAAUUAUUGGGCGUAAAGAGCUCGUAGGCGGUGUGUCGCGUCGGUCGUGAAAACUUGGGGCUUAACCCUGAGCUUGCGGUCGAUACGGGCAUCACUGGAGUUCGGCAGGGGAGACUGGAAUUCCUGGUGUAGCGGUGAAAUGCGCAGAUAUCAGGAGGAACACCGGUGGCGAAGGCGGGUCUCUGGGCCGAUACUGACGCUGAGGAGCGAAAGCGUGGGGAGCGAACAGG